AUGAUGUUGAUGCUAUUUUAUCUAAACAAGAUGACGGCGUGUCCACACACAGCAGCUUCUCUCGCUCACGUCAGAAUGGUGUUUUCGUGUUUUUUGUCUUGUGAGUUGCAGUGUUUUUGUACGUCUUCAUCACGUCUACCUGUCUUUAAGGGCGCAUACAGUCGUGAGUUUAUGCUCGAUGUCGGAAGAACAACUUUUUUAGAGUUAAACUCCACGCACGCCGAAGAAGGAGGUAAAUCACAAGGCGGCGGGCUUUAUGUUUACAUCAAUGAUGCGUGGUGCUGUGAUUCUGUUGUGGUCUGCAAACACUGCUCACCCCUGGUGGAGUUUGUGAUUAUUAAGUGCGGGCCAUUCUAUCUACCGAGGGAAUAUACAGCCAUGCUGCUUGUUGCUGUUUACAUUCCUCCCUGCUCCAACAUCAACAACAGGAGUGAGGCAAUGAAUGAAAUUUACCAGCACAUCAGUGAGCAGCAGACAGCCCACCCUGAUGCUUUUCUCACCUUGGCUGGGGAUUUCAACCACGCAGACUUAAAGAGUGUGUUCCCAAAAAUACACCAACACAUUAACUUUCCAACAAGAGGUAAAAACAUUUUGGAUUUUGUUUACACCACCCAGAAAGGAGCUUACAAAGCACUCCCCCUCCCCCACCUUGGUGCCUCAGACCAUAUCACUGUCAUGCUAAUGCCUGCAUACAGACCACUCAUUAAAGUCACCAAACCAGUUCACAAACAGAUACAAGUGUGGCCUGAAGGGUCAUCAGAGGCUCUUCAAGACUGUUUAGACACCACUGACUGGAAUAUGUUUAAGCAGGCUGCCACAUACAAUAACUCGACAGACCUCCAAGAGUACUCAGAGACUGUCACUGCCUACAUCACCAAGUGUAUUGAUGAUGUAACAGUCACAAAGACCAUCACUGUCUGGGCCAACCAGAAGCCAUGGAUGACAGGGGAGGUCAACAGACUCCUGAAGAUGCGGAACGCUGCCUUCAGAGCUGGAGAUGAGGGAGCCUGA
Molecule: long non-coding RNA, 1011 nt
Organism: Cyprinus carpio carpio
Lineage: Eukaryota; Metazoa; Chordata; Actinopteri; Cypriniformes; Cyprinidae
Source: Ensembl